UGCACAGAUAGGAGUGGAGCUAUGUAGAAUAGAUAUUAAUUCAUUUUUUAAAGAUAUUGGUAAAAUAUAUUAAUAGUCCACAUAAUAGAAAAUUCAGGAGGACGGAUGAGUGAUUUAGUUAUUAAAAGUGGUUAAUUAUAGAAUUACAAUUAAAAUCUGAAGAAUCAGGGGAAAGUAUAUAGAAGUUGUAGAAGUUAAUUAAGGUGCCAUCGCUGUGAUAGUUGUGAACCGGGGUAAGCUUGAUGCAACCUCUUUUGUUUGUUAUUUUCUUUGAAUAAGAGGAUUGAGAGUUUCUAAAUAUUGUGAAGUGAAUUAUGGAAUAGAAAUGUGAUUGGUAUUAUUUGAGAAGAAGAAAGAUUGAAUGUUGAAAUCUGAUUGUAGUUCAGCAGAGAGAAUGAGUCUGUGUUUGUGUGAAACACUGUAAUGUGAAUGGCAGUUCUGUGUGAAGAAUUCCAGUGAUUGGAAUGAGGAUAAUUGUGUA
This 481-nucleotide long non-coding RNA is filed under the name Physcomitrium patens. RNAcentral's name for it is "long non-coding RNA (PPAT_LNC008841)". Lineage: Eukaryota; Viridiplantae; Streptophyta; Bryopsida; Funariales; Funariaceae. The record is from RNAcentral.